CCACAAAAUUUUACCAUCCAAACAAAAAGAAAAUACAAAAGAAAAUUACGGACAGGAAGUUUCAAAAAUACAUUGGUCAGUCCAGAUCUACAACUAUGGUGGUUUUUGAGAAACCUUCUUCUUUGACUUCAUCUCAUCCCCUUCAGCUUCCUCCCAGAAGAGUAAUCACCCUUGGCGGAAAUUGACCGAAAUACCAACAACCCCGACAUCACUCAGAUCUAGCUCACUGGUGACUCGGGAGUUCUCUGCAUUAACAUUUGUUUCUAGGUUCCAUCAAGGCUUCAGCUUGGGUAGUGACAGCUUGUGCCCAAAUGUGAAGGGGCAAGAAAAAGGUAGCGGGCCAAGCUCAAAUUAGUGGUUCUAAAGUGGAUCCUUCAAAGAAGAAUCGCUCUCAUGCACUUCACUCAAGGGUUGAACAAGAGAAUUCUCCCGAUUUGGUGACCAUUAUGUUACAAGUAUUCUCUAUUGAUGUAUAUGUUUUUACAUGAUCCGGGUGCUACACUAUCUUUUGUUACUCCCUUGAUAGCUCGGAAGUUUGAUAUUUUUCCCGAUAUUAUAAAUGAACCUUUCAUGGUAAGUACCACGAUAAGUGAUUCGGUGGUUGCAAAGAGGGUGCAUAGAAAUUGUCCUAUAAUGUUACCCAAUAAAGUUACUCAUGUUGAAUUGGUAGAA
Solanum pennellii is the source of this 672-nucleotide long non-coding RNA. RefSeq lists it as uncharacterized. The record is from RefSeq and is a predicted model, not a curated record. The transcript is spliced from 3 exons. NCBI's taxonomy places the organism in Eukaryota, Viridiplantae, Streptophyta, Magnoliopsida, Solanales, Solanaceae.